RNAcentral lists this ribosomal RNA (348 nucleotides) under Shigella flexneri. Its description in RNAcentral is "bacterial SSU rRNA". It matches the Rfam family "Bacterial small subunit ribosomal RNA", at positions 840 to 1188 of the family's 1533-position model. Lineage: Bacteria; Pseudomonadati; Pseudomonadota; Gammaproteobacteria; Enterobacterales; Enterobacteriaceae. The record is from RNAcentral.
UGGCUUCUGGAGCUAACGCGUUAAGUAGUCCGCCUGGGGAGUACGGCCGCAAGGUUAAAACUCAAAUGAAUUGACGGGGGCCCGCACCAGCGGUGGAGCAUGUGGUUUAAUUCGAUGCAACGCGAAGAACCUUACCUGGUCUUGACAUCCUCGGAAGUUUUCAGAGAUGAGAAUGUCCCUUCGGGAACAGUGAGACAGGUGGUGCAUGGUUGUCGUCAGCUCGUGUUGUGAAAUGUUGGGUUAAGUCCCGCAACGAGCGCAACCCUUAUCCUUUGUUGCCAGCGGUCCGGCGGGGAAUUCAAAGGAGACUCCCAGUGAUAAACGGGAGGAAGGUGGGGAUGAGGUCAA